ACGGGUGCGGAACACGUACACAACCUUCCUUUAAGUGGGGAAUAGCCCAGAGAAAUUUGGAUUAAUACCCCGUAAUAUAUAGAAGUGGCAUCACUUUUAUCUUAUAGCUCCGGCGCUUAAUGAUGGGUGUGCGGCUGAUUAGAUAGUUGGCGGGGUAACGGCCCACCAAGUCUGCGAUCAGUAACUGGUGUGAGAGCACGACCAGUCACACGGGCACUGAGACACGGGCCCGACUCCUACGGGAGGCAGCAGUAAGGAAUAUUGGUCAAUGGACGCAAGUCUGAACCAGCCAUGCCGCGUGGAGGAUGAAGGCCCUCUGGGUUGUAAACUUCUUUUAUCUGGGACGAAAAAGGGACUUUCUAGUUCAACUGACGGUACCAGAGGAAUAAGCACCGGCUAACUCCGUGCCAGCAGCCGCGGUAAUACGGAGGGUGCAAGCGUUAUCCGGAUUCACUGGGUUUAAAGGGUGCGUAGGUGGGCAGGUAAGUCAGUGGUGAAAUCUUUGGGCUUAACCCGAAAACUGCCAUUGAUACUAUUUGUCUUGAAUAUUGUGGAGGUCAGCGGAAUAUGUCAUGUAGCG
This 580-nucleotide ribosomal RNA is filed under the name uncultured Terrimonas sp. Its description in RNAcentral is "bacterial SSU rRNA". It matches the Rfam family "Bacterial small subunit ribosomal RNA", at positions 102 to 680 of the family's 1533-position model. The record is from RNAcentral. Lineage: Bacteria; Pseudomonadati; Bacteroidota; Chitinophagia; Chitinophagales; Chitinophagaceae.